UACGGAGGGAGCUAGCGUUAUUCGGAAUUACUGGGCGUAAAGCGCACGUAGGCGGCUUUGUAAGUUAGAGGUGAAAGCCUGGAGCUCAACUCCAGAAUUGCCUUUAAGACUGCAUCGCUUGAAUCCAGGAGAGGUGAGUGGAAUUCCGAGUGUAGAGGCGAAAUUCGUAGAUAUUCGGAAGAACACCAGUGGCGAGGGCGGCUCACUGGACUGGUAUUGACGCUGAGGUGCGAAAGCGUGGGGAGCAAACAGG
RNAcentral lists this ribosomal RNA (253 nucleotides) under uncultured bacterium. Its description in RNAcentral is "partial 16S ribosomal RNA". It matches the Rfam family "Bacterial small subunit ribosomal RNA", at positions 524 to 776 of the family's 1533-position model. The record is from RNAcentral.